AGUGAACGCUGGCGGUAGGCCUAACACAUGCAAGUCGAACGGCAGCACAGUAAGAGCUUGCUCUUACGGGUGGCGAGUGGCGGACGGGUGAGGAAUACAUCGGAAUCUACUUUUUCGUGGGGGAUAAAGGAGGGAAACUUACGCUAAUACCGCAUACGACCUACGGGUGAAAGGAGGGGAUCUUCGGAACUUGCGCGGUUGAAUGGACCGAUGUCUGAUUAGCUCGUUGGCGGGGUAAAGGCCCACCAAGGCGACGAUCCGUAGCUGGUCUGAGAGGAUGAUCAGCCACACUGGAACUGAGACACGGUCCAGACUCCUACGGGAGGCAGCAGUGGGGAAUAUUGGACAAUGGGCGCAAGCCUGAUCCAGCCAUACCGCGUGGGUGAAGAAGGCCUUCGGGUUGUAAAGCCCUUUUGUUGGGAAAGAAAAGCAGCAGGUUAAUACCCCGCUGUUCUGACGGUACCCAAAGAAUAAGCACCGGCUAACUUCGUG
Molecule: ribosomal RNA, 492 nt
Filed under: uncultured bacterium
Lineage: Bacteria
Description: partial 16S ribosomal RNA
Rfam family: Bacterial small subunit ribosomal RNA
Source: RNAcentral